GGGAGUAGCAAUACAACUGGUGGCGACCGGCGCACGGGUGAGUAACGCGUAUGCAACCUUUCAUAUGGAGGGGAAUAACCCGGCGAAAGUCGGACUACCCUCGCAUAAAACAGGGGCACCGCAUGGUGCUAUUUGUUAAAGAAAUUCGCUGAUAGAUGGGCAUGCGUUCCAUUAGGUAGUUGGUGAGGUAACGGCUCACCAAGCCGACGAUGGAUAGGGGAACUGAGAGGUUGGUCCCCCACACUGGUACUGAGACACGGACCAGACUCCUACGGGAGGCAGCAGUGAGGAAUAUUGGUCAAUGGGCGAGAGCCUGAACCAGCCAAGUCGCGUGAAGGAAGAAGGAUCUAUGGUUCGUAAACUUCUUUUGCAGGGGAAUAAAGUGCGGGACGUGUCCUGUUUUGUAUGUACCCUGAGAAUAAGGAUCGGCUAACUCCGUGCCAGCAGCCGCGGUAAUACGGAGGAUCCGAGCGUUAUCCGGAUUUAUUGGGUUUAAAGGAUGCGUAGGUGGUUUUAUAAGUCAGCGGUGAAAGUUUGCAGCUUAACUGUAAAAAUGCCGUUGAAACUGUAAGACUUGAGUGUAAAUGAGGUAGGCGGAAUGCGUGGUGUAGCGGUGAAAUGCAUAGAUAUCACGAAGAACUCCGAUUG
This 648-nucleotide ribosomal RNA is filed under the name uncultured Porphyromonadaceae bacterium. RNAcentral describes it as "bacterial SSU rRNA". It matches the Rfam family "Bacterial small subunit ribosomal RNA", at positions 67 to 715 of the family's 1533-position model. The record is from RNAcentral. Lineage: Bacteria; Pseudomonadati; Bacteroidota; Bacteroidia; Bacteroidales; Porphyromonadaceae.